AUGCCUCCUAUUUAUGAUGAUUAUAUUGAUGAAAGUGGGUUUGGAAGAGUUUCAACUUUAGGAAGUAAUGAUCCCACUAUUUUGGAGGGUGUUGAAUCUUAUUGUGAUAAUUAUGAAAGUGGGUUUGGAGAGGUCAUGACUUUAGUUAAUGUUAAUCCCACUAUUUUGGAAGAGUGUCAACUUUGCAUACUUGUAGAUCAUGAAAAGAAUGCUUUAUGUGAUGGUUAUAUUGUUGAAUUCAUUCAUGAUGCUACUGAAAAUUACUAUGAGGGAGGAACAUAUGCUCGUAGGAAUUGCAAUAAUAUCAAGUUUCCUCUCUAUGUGCUUAAAAUCUUGAAGUUAUGCUUGUUUUGCUUUCCUAUGCAAGUUGAUUCUUGUUCCCACAAAUUGUUUGCUCACAAAAUCCCUAUGCAUAGGAAGUGGGUUAGACUUAAAUGUGCUAGUCAUACUCUUUAUGAUACUCUCUUUAUGUUUCAAUUCUUACCUUUUAUGUGA
RNAcentral lists this ribosomal RNA (495 nucleotides) under Triticum aestivum (bread wheat). RNAcentral's name for it is "partial small subunit ribosomal RNA". The record is from RNAcentral. Lineage: Eukaryota; Viridiplantae; Streptophyta; Magnoliopsida; Poales; Poaceae.